Magnolia sinica is the source of this 494-nucleotide long non-coding RNA. RefSeq lists it as uncharacterized. The record is from RefSeq and is a predicted model, not a curated record. The transcript has 3 exons. NCBI's taxonomy places the organism in Eukaryota, Viridiplantae, Streptophyta, Magnoliopsida, Magnoliales, Magnoliaceae.
AGAUAGCACAGGCAUUUGGGGCUUCUGAAAUUAUUGUUGUUGAUGUUCAUGAUGAUAAACUUUACAAUGCAAAGAUGCUAGGAGCAACUCAUACAAUAAAUGCAGUAAAAGAAAAUGUCGUUGACAAGAUAAAGCUCAAUUGGUUUUCUUCAAAAAUGGUGAAGGGAAAGUGAUAUGUAUCCUUGUUGUGGUGGCGAGUCCUCUAGUGGUGGUUCGCCCUCGAAUAUAAUUACAGAAGACACGCAGGAGAAGUUAUCGGUAUAGCUGUCAGAUGUGCGGGUGGACUAUUGAUACUCGCAUCCAUUUUCUAUCCAUGGUGGAUGAAGGAAUCACCUGGCCAUAUGCGAGUGCACACAGACUCACCAAGAUUUGUACUUUCAACAUUAUUAUAAUUGUAAUUGAAUUGAAUGAAUGAAUGAUUGUAAUUAAUUCAUUAUUGAAUGAAUGAUUGUAAUUGACUUACUGAAUGAAUGAUUGUAAUUAAUUGAAUGAAU